This 76-nucleotide transfer RNA is filed under the name Actinomycetota bacterium. Its description in RNAcentral is "Actinobacteria bacterium tRNA-Arg". It matches the Rfam family "tRNA". Rfam says of the family: Transfer RNA (tRNA) molecules are approximately 80 nucleotides in length. Their secondary structure includes four short double-helical elements and three loops (D, anti-codon, and T loops). The record is from RNAcentral. Lineage: Bacteria; Bacillati; Actinomycetota. RNAcentral also lists the same sequence under 2 other names.
GCCUCCGUAGCUCAAUGGAUAGAGCAGCGGGUUUCUACCCCGUCGGUUGGGAGUUCGAGUCUCUCCGGGGGCGCCA